CAACCGUCCAACCGGCCGAGUCGCUGCUUUUUUCAACCUCUGGUUUUCUGGACUGGUGAAAAGCGCUUAUCCAGAUGGCGGACGGUUCCUUUCUUGGUUCCAUGUAUAAACCCGCGCGGUCCCGAGCAAGAAAGAAAGCGAAGGAAAAACAGAAGGAAAAGCUAAGCAAAGCAAAGAAGCGCGCUUGCCACUAGAGUCCGUAGCAACGGAGUCCUCCCCUUCCUUCUCUCGGUCCUCUUCUUCUGCUUCUCCCAUUAUCAAUCUCGACCAGCAACCGAGGCUCACCUUCACGCAGCCGGAGCAGCUCGAGGUGGAGGAGAAGGUAGCCGAGAUCUACCGCGUUCUCAAUGGCGUCUCCCCCCCACGCUCAAUCGCUCAUGCAAGUUCUCCUUAUCAUCAUUAGGGGUUUGUUUUGAAGGUCAGAGCUAUGACGUGAUAAGCAUGUUGAAUUUCUCACAAGAGGACUCGAGCAACUUGGACCGAGCUUUCACGUGCUAGAUGCUGAGUAAGAUCGGAUUUCAUUGGUACUCUCUUUCCUAAACAAAUCCUUUUUGAUAUCCAUGUUCUCAUUUAAAUUCCAUUUAUAGCUGGAGUUUUUUUAUUGUCCAAUGUGGGUUGAUUUCUUGAGUGCAGCCGACCUUGGCUAUGCUACUGGAUUCUUUUUCCUUUUUUUUGCUGAAGUGCUACUGGAUUCUUCACUCAUUUGUUUUGUUAGGAGAACCACUCGACCCUGAACUGGAGAACAAUGUGGUCGAUUUUUUAUCCCAUUGUGAGGUCUAUAGUUUUACUCAAAACUUUCCUUAUUGGUACAUAUAAUUGGAUUAGGUUGAUAUUUAUUUUCUUGACUAAUUUAUAUGUUAUGUUGGCUUUGAUCAUAAUGUUCUCGAAAAUGUUAUUAGCAAAAUGGAUACUUUGAUUCCUUUAGUUAAAUUUAGGAUAAAGUAUAAGUUUAUCGCUAUUCUAUAUAGAGAUUACAAGAAAAUCUUUUAAAAAAAUCAUGUUUUUAAAGGAGGAAAGGCCAAUUUUAUGCUAAUUAUUUGUGAUAAGUGAUGACAACAUAUACUUUUCAAAUUGCUCCCUGUUGGGAAGAUUACAUUUUUCACCUCAAGCAUUGGUGAUAUAUUCUUUUGAGAUAAUUUAUAUAAAUCAUUUCUAUACAAGAUGUAGAAUAAGUGGAUUUUGAUUUGAUUAUUAGGACCAAGGUGCUAGCAAGAGUUUAUUAACUUUAGUAAAAGAUUUUGUUUUAUCUUCAUAAUAUUGUUAUUGGAAAAGGACAGGAUUCAUUGAAGAUUCUCUUCAUCCACUGAAAAUAAUUUUAUGGAGAAUAAAAAUGUUUUAAUGCACAUUACUAUCUUUAAUGAGCGAAGUAAUCCUUGACUCGAGUAUUUCUUCUUGAAUGGUCUAGAAGAAGGAUUAGAGAUUCAUGAAGCUGAUGGAUGCGAGACUUUGAAAAGAACAAAAUCUUAAAGCAAGCUCUGUUCUCUGUUCUCUGGAACACUGGCUUGCUUAUUCAUAUGCAGAAUUGCACCCUUUUUUUUUCCAUUUGUUUUUCCUAUGUUUCCUGCACCUGCUUGAUUUAAGGAAAGUUUUUUUUUUUUUUUUUGUCUUUGUUCUCCUACUCCAUGUCAUCUAAUUCUUGCUACCAUGCUGAUAAGAGGAUGCCAAUUUUAUUAUUUAAUAUCUAUUGGAUGUGGAUUGAUGAUAAUGAAUUUUAUGUAGGAGCUGAGUCAAUUUAUAUUGGCUAUUGAUAUAAUGUAUAAUGCUUCCAGUUUAAAAAUCAUAUUUGCAAAUAGCUAAAGUCAUCUUUCAGAUGAUUUCUUUCUAUUUUUUCUUAUGACUCUUUUUUCAUGCUUUUCUUAUGUAUGAUUUACUGGUAUUAAUGAACAGAAAUUGCUGCAUUUGAAAUCUUACAGGACAAAGAUGGUGGAUAUGGUGGUGGCAGAUAUGUAAUCACUAUUAAGUCAACCACAAAGGCUUCCUGAUACUUUCACCGCCCCAUCCUUCCCAACUCUCAAUUCAAUCUAGCUGCUGGAAAUGCAUAAAACUGAGCCCAGACACGUGAAUCAUUGUUUACUGCCGCAUACGAUCUCAGUGAGAUUUUAUAGUUAAUUUUCAUCCUUUCCAACCAUAACUUAAUUUUUACGUAGAGCUUCCCAGGAUGGUACCGAAACCUUUUACCUAUCAAUCUUAGAUGGUACCACCUCUUUUGAGCUUCGCAUCCUUACCAUCAAUUUUGCCCGUAUCAUCCAUGAGCUUUCUGGCGAACCUCUCUAAUGUUCUCUGGAUGGAGCACAACACUAUUUACUGGAUUAAUAGCAAGCCCUAAAUGCAGUCCGAACACAAUUCAGGGUGCGUAGACCAGAACACAAUCAUGCUAUAUACUAAGGCUUCCAUAAACCAUAUGAUUUCAACUUGAUUGCUGGCUGAUACAUACCUGCCAGAAACCACAAUGUUUCAUCCGGUCAGAAGAGCACUGCUAAAACCAAGACGCUUGAUCAAUUAAAACUCAAUCGAUGGCAGUCCUUAAAUCAUUUUUUAUUUUUCAUUCUGCGCAAGGUCAGGUCAAAACUUAAAACGAGGAACACCAUGUUGAUAUGCUACCCAUUAACAUCUUAACAUAUUCCUUCUGGGUCUACAAUAUAUGAGGUGGUAAACCAUCUGCGGUGAACAAACCAUACAUGAACCGUCAUCGGUUCUCAGAUUACAAAA
Molecule: non-coding RNA, 2709 nt
Organism: Phoenix dactylifera (date palm)
Lineage: Eukaryota; Viridiplantae; Streptophyta; Magnoliopsida; Arecales; Arecaceae
Source: RefSeq, a predicted model, not a curated record